AGUGAACGCUGGCGGUAGGCCUAACACAUGCAAGUCGAACGGCAGCACAGUAGGAGCUUGCUCUUACGGGUGGCGAGUGGCGGACGGGUGAGGAAUACAUCGGAAUCUACUUUUUCGUGGGGGAUAACGUAGGGAAACUUACGCUAAUACCGCAUACGACCUACGGGUGAAAGCAGGGGAUCUUCGGACCUUGCGCGAUUGAAUGAGCCGAUGUCGGAUUAGCUAGUUGGCGGGGUAAAGGCCCACCAAGGCGACGAUCCGUAGCUGGUCUGAGAGGAUGAUCAGCCACACUGGAACUGAGACACGGUCCAGGCUCCUACGGGAGGCAGCAGUGGGGAAUAUUGGACAAUGGGCGCAAGCCUGAUCCAGCCAUACCGCGUGGGUGAAGAAGGCCUUCGGGUUGUAAAGCCCUUUUGUUGGGAAAGAAAAGCAGCAGGUUAAUACCCCGCUGUUCUGACGGUACCCAAAGAAUAAGCACCGGCUAACUUCGUG
RNAcentral lists this ribosomal RNA (492 nucleotides) under uncultured bacterium. RNAcentral describes it as "partial 16S ribosomal RNA". It matches the Rfam family "Bacterial small subunit ribosomal RNA", at positions 29 to 507 of the family's 1533-position model. The record is from RNAcentral.